GAGGGGGCCAGGCAAGCUGCCAAAAUCUAACCUUGUCUCCCUCGCCCUCUUCCUGACCCCACCCCAUCCAGUGGCGAUGGAUGAUGAGGAUGGGAGAUGCUUACUAGACGUGAUUUGUGACCCACAGGCCCUCAAUGACUUCUUGCAUGGAUCCGAGAAGCUUGACAGUGAUGACCUCCUGGAUAAUCCCGGGGAGGCCCAAAGUGCCUUCUAUGAAGGUCCUGGGCUCCAUGUGCAAGAAGCUUCCGGCAACCACCUGAACCCAGAGCCCAACC
This 275-nucleotide long non-coding RNA is filed under the name Pan troglodytes (chimpanzee). RNAcentral describes it as "long non-coding RNA NONPTRT008168". The record is from RNAcentral. Lineage: Eukaryota; Metazoa; Chordata; Mammalia; Primates; Hominidae.